CCUACGGGAGGCAGCAGUGAGGAAAAUUGGUCAAUGGACGAGAGUCUGAACCAGCCAAGUAGCGUGAAGGAUGACUGCCCUAUGGGUUGUAAACUUCUUUUAUAAAGGAAUAAAACGAGGCACGUGUGCCUUUUUGACUGGCCUUUAUGAAUAAGGAUCGGCUAACUCCGUGCCAGCAGCAGCGGUAAUACGGAGGAUCCGAGCGUUAUGCGGAUUUAUGGGGUUUAAAGGGAGCGUAGAUGGGUUGUUAAGUCAGUUGUGAAAGUUUGCGGCUCAACCGUAAAAUUGCAAUUGAUACUGGCAGUCUUGAGUACAGUUGAGGUAGGCGGAAUUCGUGGUGUAGCGGUGAAAUGCUUAGAUAUCACGAAGAACCCCGAUUGCGAAGGCAGCUUACUAAACUGUGACUGACAUUGAUGCUCGAAAGUGUGGGUAUCAAACAGGAUUAGAUACCCCUGUAGUC
RNAcentral lists this ribosomal RNA (460 nucleotides) under uncultured bacterium. RNAcentral's name for it is "partial 16S ribosomal RNA". It matches the Rfam family "Bacterial small subunit ribosomal RNA", at positions 338 to 795 of the family's 1533-position model. The record is from RNAcentral.